This is a non-coding RNA of Monodelphis domestica (gray short-tailed opossum), 838 nucleotides long. Lineage: Eukaryota; Metazoa; Chordata; Mammalia; Didelphimorphia; Didelphidae. The record is from RefSeq and is a predicted model, not a curated record.
GGGACCGUGUUUGAUGAAGACCAGACCCAAGAGUUUUGGAUGGACGGGGAGCCAAACAAUAAAGACAACAAUGAACAUUGUGUCCAUUUCCAGGCUAAAGAGCUCAAAUCAUGAAUGAUUUAAAUUGUGAAUCUACCAUAAGCUUCAUCUGUAAGUGGAACUGCGAAUCAUCUGAGCUAUGCGGUGCAAUAUUAGGACACAAAUAUUGAAUUGUUCUGAUUACUCACGUAUGAAGCAAUGAGAAAAAAUGGCCACCGUCCUUCUGGCCACCAUCCAUGCCCGCUUAUGGGUCUCAUUUUCCUCCCCAGUUAAAGUUCUCCCAAAGGAGCCUGGAAUGAUGAUUAAGGGACUUGACCAGCUGGGCUAAGUGAUGCCUCCAUCUCAUCAGGCAGCCACUUGAAGAACCAGACUUUGCACUCUACAUCAUCAUUACCAGAACCACAGACCAGGCCAUGCCAUGCCAUGCUUUCACAUUCUUUAUCACUAUUAAGCCUUCACACUUAUACAUUUGCCCACCACUGAUCUUGCUCAGGCUCCCUAUUUCUACCUCCUUGGUUGUAGAUGCUGUUUGGGAGAGGUAGAAAUAGGGAGCCUGAGCAAGAUCAGUAGUGGGCAAAUGUAUAAGUGUGAAGGCUUCGGACUCUCAAAUGGUCCUGCUUUUCAGAACUAUUCUCUAUCAUUUGCAUCCAGGCAGCUUGGUGGAACAGUGGAUAGAUCCUGGGUCCAGAGUCAGGAAGACUUAAAUUCAAAUCUGAGACACUUCUAACUAUGUGACCCUGGACGAGUCAUUCAACCUCUGUAUGCUUCACUUUCAACCAUAAAAUGGGAAUGAAAGCAA